RNAcentral lists this ribosomal RNA (335 nucleotides) under Allobates sumtuosus. RNAcentral describes it as "partial 16S ribosomal RNA". It matches the Rfam family "Bacterial large subunit ribosomal RNA", at positions 1926 to 2394 of the family's 2925-position model. The record is from RNAcentral. Lineage: Eukaryota; Metazoa; Chordata; Amphibia; Anura; Aromobatidae.
AACGGCCGCGGUAUCCUAACCGUGCGAAGGUAGCGUAAUCACUUGUUCUUUAAAUGAGGACUAGUAUGAACGGCUCCACGAAGGCUAUACUGUCUCCCUUAUCUAAUCAGUUAAACUAAUCUCCCCGUGAAGAAGCGGGGAUUCACAUAUAAGACGAGAAGACCCUAUGGAGCUUAAAACACCUCUAAACAUUUGACCUCCACACUACUAUUUUCAGAAAUCUUCACAAAGCCCGUCAUUUUGUUUUAAGUUUUAGGUUGGGGUGACCGCGGAGAAUAACCUAACCUCCACGUAGAAAGAACUUUCUUUUCUAAGCAAAAAGCUACAUCUUUAUG